GAUGAACGCUGGCGGCGUGCCUAAUACAUGCAAGUCGAGCGAACAGACGAGGAGCUUGCUCCUCUGACGUUAGCGGCGGACGGGUGAGUAACACGUGGAUAACCUACCUAUAAGACUGGGAUAACUUCGGGAAACCGGAGCUAAUACCGGAUAAUAUAUUGAACCGCAUGGUUCAAUAGUGAAAGACGGUUUUGCUGUCACUUAUAGAUGGAUCCGCGCCGCAUUAGCUAGUUGGUAAGGUAACGGCUUACCAAGGCAACGAUGCGUAGCCGACCUGAGAGGCUGAUCAGCCACACUGGAUCUGAGACACGGUCCAGACUCCUACGGGAGGCAGCAUUAGGGAAUCUUCCGCAAUGGGCGAAAGCCUGACGGAGCAACGCCGCGUGAGUGAUGAAGGUCUUCGGAUCGUAAAACUCUGUUAUUAGUGAAGAACAAAUGUGUAAGUAACUAUGCACGUCUUGACGGUACCUAAUCAGAAAGCCACGGCUAACUACGUG
This 497-nucleotide ribosomal RNA is filed under the name uncultured bacterium. RNAcentral's name for it is "partial 16S ribosomal RNA". It matches the Rfam family "Bacterial small subunit ribosomal RNA", at positions 28 to 507 of the family's 1533-position model. The record is from RNAcentral.